This 536-nucleotide ribosomal RNA is filed under the name fungal endophyte. RNAcentral describes it as "eukaryotic LSU rRNA". It matches the Rfam family "Eukaryotic large subunit ribosomal RNA", at positions 51 to 598 of the family's 3401-position model. Lineage: Eukaryota; Fungi. The record is from RNAcentral.
CGGAGGAAAAGAAACCAACAGGGAUUGCCCUAGUAACGGCGAGUGAAGCGGCAACAGCUCAAAUUUGAAAUCUGGCUCUCGGGCCCGAGUUGUAAUUUGUAGAGGAUGCUUUUGGUGCGGUGCCUUCCGAGUUCCCUGGAACGGGACGCCAUAGAGGGUGAGAGCCCCGUCUGGUUGGACGCCAAACCUCUGUAAAGCUCCUUCGACGAGUCGAGUAGUUUGGGAAUGCUGCUCUAAAUGGGAGGUAUAUGUCUUCUAAAGCUAAAUACCGGCCAGAGACCGAUAGCGCACAAGUAGAGUGAUCGAAAGAUGAAAAGCACUUUGAAAAGAGAGUUAAAAAGUACGUGAAAUUGUUGAAAGGGAAGCGCUCAUGACCAGACUUGGGCUUGGUUGAUCAUCCAGGGUUCUCCCUGGUGCACUCUUCCAGUCCAGGCCAGCAUCAGUUUGCCCUGGGGGAUAAAGGCUUCGGGAAUGUGGCUCCUCCGGGAGUGUUAUAGCCCGUUGUGUAAUACCCUGGGGCGGACUGAGGUUCGCGC